GACGAACGCUGGCGGCGUGCCUAAUACAUGCAAGUUGAGCGCUGAAGGUUGGUACUUGUACCAACUGGAUGAGCAGCGAACGGGUGAGUAACGCGUGGGGAAUCUGCCUUUGAGCGGGGGACAACAUUUGGAAACGAAUGCUAAUACCGCAUAAAAACUUUAAACACAAGUUUUAAGUUUGAAAGAUGCAAUUGCAUCACUCAAAGAUGAUCCCGCGUUGUAUUAGCUAGUUGGUGAGGUAAAGGCUCACCAAGGCGAUGAUACAUAGCCGACCUGAGAGGGUGAUCGGCCACAUUGGGACUGAGACACGGCCCAAACCCCUACGGGAGGCAGCAGUAGGGAAUCUUCGGCAAUGGACGAAAGUCUGACCGAGCAACGCCGCGUGAGUGAAGAAGGUUUUCGGAUCGUAAAACUCUGUUGGUAGAGAAGAACGUUGGUGAGAGUGGAAAGCUCAUCGAGUGACGGUAACUACCCAGAAAGGGACGGCUAACUACGUG
Molecule: ribosomal RNA, 497 nt
Filed under: uncultured bacterium
Lineage: Bacteria
Description: partial 16S ribosomal RNA
Rfam family: Bacterial small subunit ribosomal RNA
Source: RNAcentral